UACGUAGGGUGCAAGCGUUUGUCCGGAAUUAUUGGGCGUAAAGAGCUUGUAGGUGGUUUGUCGCGUCUGCUGUGAAAAUCCGAGGCUCAACCUCGGACUUGCAGUGGGUACGGGGCAGACUAGAGUGUGGUAGGGGAGACUGGAAUUCCUGGUGUAGCGGUGGAAUGCGCAGAUAUCAGGAGGAACACCGAUGGCGAAGGCAGGUCUCUGGGCCACUACUGACGCUGAGAAGCGAAAGCAUGGGGAGCGAACAGG
Molecule: ribosomal RNA, 255 nt
Filed under: uncultured bacterium
Lineage: Bacteria
Description: partial 16S ribosomal RNA
Rfam family: Bacterial small subunit ribosomal RNA
Source: RNAcentral